UACGGAGGGUGCAAGCGUUAUCCGGAUUUACUGGGUUUAAAGGGUGCGUAGGUGGGUCUGUAAGUCAGUGGUGAAAUCUCCGAGCUUAACUCGGAAACUGCCAUUGAUACUAUAGAUCUUGAAUUAUCUGGAGGUAAGCGGAAUAUGUCAUGUAGCGGUGAAAUGCUUAGAUAUGACAUAGAACACCAAUUGCGAAGGCAGCUUACUGGCCCGGUACUGACGCUGAGGUGCGAAAGCGUGGGGAGCAAACAGG
Molecule: ribosomal RNA, 253 nt
Filed under: uncultured bacterium
Lineage: Bacteria
Description: partial 16S ribosomal RNA
Rfam family: Bacterial small subunit ribosomal RNA
Source: RNAcentral